RNAcentral lists this ribosomal RNA (406 nucleotides) under uncultured bacterium. RNAcentral describes it as "partial 16S ribosomal RNA". It matches the Rfam family "Bacterial small subunit ribosomal RNA", at positions 30 to 526 of the family's 1533-position model. The record is from RNAcentral.
AUUGAACGCUGGCGGCAGGCCUAACACAUGCAAGUCGAGCGAGUGGCGGACGGGUGAGUAAUGUCUGGGAAAAUGCCCGAUGGAGGGGGAUAACUACUGGAAACGGUGGCUAAUACCGCAUACACUCGGAUGUGCCCAUAUGGGAUUAGCUAGUGGGUGGGGUAAUGGCGCACCUAGGCGACGAUCCCUAGCUGGUCUGAGAGGAUGACCAGCCACACUGGAACUGAGACACGGCCCAGACUCCUACGGGAGGCAGCAGUGGGGAAUAUUGCACAAUGGGCGCAAGCCUGAUGCAGCCAUGCCGCGUGUAUGAAGAAGGCCUUAGGGUUGUAAAGUACUUUCAGUGAGGAGGCGUUACCCGCAGAAGAAGCACCGGCUAACUCCGUGCCAGCAGCCGCGGUAAUAC